GACGAACCCCGUCGGCGUGCUUAACACAUGCAAGUCGAACGGAAAGGCCCUGCUUUUGUGGGGUGCUCGAGUGGCGAACGGGUGAGUAACACGUGAGUAACCUGCCCUUGACUUUGGGAUAACUUCAGGAAACUGGGGCUAAUACCGGAUAGGAGCUCCUGCUGCAUGGUGGGGGUUGGAAAGUUUCGGCGGUUGGGGAUGGACUCGCGGCUUAUCAGCUUGUUGGUGGGGUAGUGGCUUACCAAGGCUUUGACGGGUAGCCGGCCUGAGAGGGUGACCGGCCACAUUGGGACUGAGAUACGGCCCAGACUCCUACGGGAGGCAGCAGUGGGGAAUAUUGCACAAUGGGCGGAAGCCUGAUGCAGCAACGCCGCGUGCGGGAUGACGGCCUUCGGGUUGUAAACCGCUUUCGCCUGUGACGAAGCGUGAGUGACGGUAAUGGGUAAAGAAGCACCGGCUAACUACGUGCCAGCAGCCGCGGUGAUACGUAGGGUGCGAGCGUUGUCCGGAUUUAUUGGGCGUAAAGGGCUCGUAGGUGGUUGAUCGCGUCGGAAGUGUAAUCUUGGGGCUUAACCCUGAGCGUGCUUUCGAUACGGGUUGACUUGAGGAAGGUAGGGGAGAAUGGAAUUCCUGGUGGAGCGGUGGAAUGCGCAGAUAUCAGGAGGAACACCAGUGGCGAAGGCGGUUCUCUGGGCCUUUCCUGACGCUGAGGAGCGAAAGCGUGGGGAGCGAACAGGCUUAGAUACCCUGGUAGUCCACGCUGUAAACGGUGGGUACUAGGUGUGGGGUCCAUUCCACGGGUUCCGUGCCGUAGCUAACGCUUUAAGUACCCCGCCUGGGGAGUACGGCCGCAAGGCUAAAACUCAAAGGAAUUGACGGGGCCCCGCACAAGCGGCGGAGCAUGCGGAUUAAUUCGAUGCAACGCGUAGAACCUUACCUGGGUUUGACAUGGAUCGGGAGUGCUCAGAGAUGGGUGUGCCUCUUUUGGGGUCGGUUCACAGGUGGUGCAUGGCUGUCGUCAGCUCGUGUCGUGAGAUGUUGGGUUAAGUCCCGCAACGAGCGCAACCCUUGUUCACUGUUGCCAGCACGUUAUGGUGGGGACUCAGUGGAGACCGCCGGGGUCAACUCGGAGGAAGGUGGGGAUGACGUCAAGUCAUCAUGCCCCUUAUGUCCAGGGCUUCACGCAUGCUACAAUGGCUGGUACAGAGAGUGGCGAGCCUGUGAGGGUGAGCGAAUCUCGGAAAGCCGGUCUCAGUUCGGAUUGGGGUCUGCAACUCGACCUCAUGAAGUCGGAGUCGCUAGUAAUCGCAGAUCAGCAACGCUGCGGUGAAUACGUUCCCGGGGCUUGUACACACCGCCCGUCAAGUCAUGAAAGUUGGUAACACCCGAAGCCGGUGGCCUAACCGUUGUGGGGGAGCCGUCGAAGGUGGGACUGGUGAUUAGGACUAAGUCGUA
This 1455-nucleotide ribosomal RNA is filed under the name uncultured organism. RNAcentral's name for it is "partial small subunit ribosomal RNA". It matches the Rfam family "Bacterial small subunit ribosomal RNA". The record is from RNAcentral.